UGCGUAGGCGGAUUUAUAAGUCAGUGGUGAAAUCCUACAGCUUAACUGUAGAACUGCCAUUGAUACUGUAGAUCUUGAGUACGGUUGAGGUGGGCGGAAUGUGUCAUGUAGCGGUGAAAUGCUUAGAUAUGACACAGAACACCAAUCGCGAAGGCAGCUCGCUAAACCGUAACUGACGCUGAGGCACGAAAGCGUGGGGAGCGAACAGGAUUAGAUACCCUGGUAGUCC
RNAcentral lists this ribosomal RNA (229 nucleotides) under uncultured bacterium. RNAcentral describes it as "partial 16S ribosomal RNA". It matches the Rfam family "Bacterial small subunit ribosomal RNA", at positions 568 to 796 of the family's 1533-position model. The record is from RNAcentral.